Molecule: ribosomal RNA, 492 nt
Filed under: uncultured bacterium
Lineage: Bacteria
Description: partial 16S ribosomal RNA
Rfam family: Bacterial small subunit ribosomal RNA
Source: RNAcentral
AGUGAACGCUGGCGGUAGGCCUAACACAUGCAAGUCGAACGGCAGCACAGUAAGAGCUUGCUCUUACGGGUGGCGAGUGGCGGACGGGUGAGGAAUACAUCGGAAUCUACUUUUUCGUGGGGGAUAACGUAGGGAAACUUACGCUCAUACCGCAUACGACCUACGGGUGAAAGCAGGGGAUCUUCGCACCUUGCGCGAUUGAAUGAGCCGAUGUCGGAUUAGCUAGUUGGCGGGGUAAAGGCCCACCAAGGCGACGAUCCGUAGCUGGUCUGAGAGGAUGAUCAGCCACACUGGAACUGAGACACGGUCCAGACUCCUACGGGAGGCAGCAGUGGGGAAUAUUGGACAAUGGGCGCAAGCCUGAUCCAGCCAUACCGCGUGGGUGAAGAUGGCCUUCGGUUUGUAAAGCCCUUUUGUUGGGAAAGAAAAGCAGCAGGUUAAUACCCCGCUGUUCUGACGGUACCCAAAGAAUAAGCACCGGCUAACUUCGUG